This is a long non-coding RNA of Chiroxiphia lanceolata (lance-tailed manakin), 311 nucleotides long. RefSeq lists it as uncharacterized. Lineage: Eukaryota; Metazoa; Chordata; Aves; Passeriformes; Pipridae. The transcript is spliced from 3 exons. The record is from RefSeq and is a predicted model, not a curated record.
UGCCGCCGCCGCCCGGGGACGCGGCGCCCGGGAGAUGCAGGUUUCAGCUGGGUACUUAUGGGUGUGAGCAGCAGAGAGUGCAGAGGAUUACCAUUGCCAUUUGAACCUGCCCAGGUGUAGUGUAUCUUCUCUGUAACUCAGGACUGUGAGAGAGCAGAUGGGAACUACUUUUCUUUAGCUUCCCCUGUGAGCUCUGCAUGUGGUCCUGCUUUUUCAACUGCGCCGUGGUUCCUAGGAAAGUGAAAGCUCUUCUCCCUAUGACUGCUAUCCCUAUGGAUCACUUCCUGGCCAGGCAUUCUGGCCAUCUCAUA